UGGGGAAUUUUGGACAAUGGGCGAAAGCCUGAUCCAGCAAUGCCGCGUGCAGGAUGGAGGCCUUCGGGUUGUAAACUGCUUUUGUACGGAACGAAAAAGCUUCUCCUAAUACGAGAGGCCCAUGACGGUACCGUAAGAAUAAGCACCGGCUAACUACGUGCCAGCAGCCGCGGUAAUACGUAGGGUGCGAGCGUUAAUCGGAAUUACUGGGCGUAAAGCGUGCGCAGGCGGUUAUGUAAGACAGAUGUGAAAUCCCCGGGCUCAACCUGGGAACUGCAUUUGUGACUACAUGGCUAGAGGACGGUAGAGGGGGAUGGAAUUCCGCGUGUAGCAGUGAAAUGCGUAGAUAUGCGGAGGAACACCGAUAGCGAAGGCAAUCCCCUGGACCUGUACUGACGCUCAUGCACGAAAGCGUGGGGAGCAAACA
Molecule: ribosomal RNA, 427 nt
Filed under: uncultured bacterium
Lineage: Bacteria
Description: bacterial SSU rRNA
Rfam family: Bacterial small subunit ribosomal RNA
Source: RNAcentral